UUUGCCAAGUGAGAACUGAAAGCAACAAAGUAACAAAGCAAAGUAAAACCGGAGAUGUAAACGAUGGAUGUGAAUAGACCCGGGGGCCCUAGUGUUUACUAGUGGCUUCUCUCAUGAAAGCAAGUAGACGGUGGGUGAACAAAUUACUGUCGAGCAAUUGAUACAACUGUGCAGAGUCGUGACGAUAUCUAUGCAAUGAUUAUUU
This 205-nucleotide long non-coding RNA is filed under the name Hordeum vulgare. RNAcentral's name for it is "long non-coding RNA (HVUL_LNC014929)". Lineage: Eukaryota; Viridiplantae; Streptophyta; Magnoliopsida; Poales; Poaceae. The record is from RNAcentral.